CAGUCGAGAUCUAGAAAAAGAUUA
This 24-nucleotide microRNA is filed under the name Heliconius melpomene (postman butterfly). RNAcentral describes it as "Hme-Novel-6_3p (mature (guide))". The record is from RNAcentral. Lineage: Eukaryota; Metazoa; Arthropoda; Insecta; Lepidoptera; Nymphalidae.